This 497-nucleotide ribosomal RNA is filed under the name uncultured bacterium. RNAcentral's name for it is "partial 16S ribosomal RNA". It matches the Rfam family "Bacterial small subunit ribosomal RNA", at positions 28 to 507 of the family's 1533-position model. The record is from RNAcentral.
GAUGAACGCUGGCGGCGUGCCUAAUAAAUGCAAGUCGAGCGAACGGACGAGAAGCUUGCUUCUCUGAUGUUAGCGGCGGACGGGUGAGUAACACGUGGAUAACCUACCUAUAAGACUGGGAUAACUUCGGGAAACCGUAGCUAAUACCGGAUAAUAUUUUGAACCGCAUGGUUCAAAAGUGAAAGACGGUCUUGCUGUCACUUAUAGAUGGAUCCGCGCUGCAUUAGCUAGUUGGUAAGGUAACGGCUUACCAAGGCAACGAUGCAUAGCCGACCUGAGAGGGUGAUCGGCCACACUGGAACUGAGACACGGUCCAGACUCCUACGGGAGGCAGCAGUAGGGAAUCUUCCGCAAUGGGCGAAAGCCUGACGGAGCAACGCCGCGUGAGUGAUGAAGGUCUUCGGAUCGUAAAACUCUGUUAUUAGGGAAGAACAUAUGUGUAAGUAACUGUGCACAUCUUGACGGUACCUAAUCAGAAAGCCACGGCUAACUACGUG